CCUACGGGUGGCAGCAGUGGGGAAUAUUCCGCAAUGGGCGAAAGCCUGACGCAGCGACGCCGCGUGAGUGAUGAAGGUCUUCGGAUCGUAAAACUCUGUUAGCAGGGAAGAACGGGCACUGUGGUAAUUAGCAGUGCACUGACGGUACCUGCCCAGGAAGCACCGGCUAACUACGUGCCAGCAGCCGCGGUAAUACGGAGGGUGCGAGCGUUAUCCGGAAUUAUUGGGCGUAAAGCGCUCGUAGGCGGUAUGUCAAGUCAGGGGUGAAAUCCACGCGCUCAACGUGGGAACGGCCUUGGAAACUGGCAGACUGGAGUGUGGGAGAGGAUAGUGGAAUUCCAGGUGUAGGGGUGAAAUGCGUAGAUAUAUGGAGGAACAUCAGUGGCGAAGGCGACUAUCUGGCACAUAACUGACGCUGAGGAGCGAAAGCGUGGGGAGCAAACAGGAUUAGAUACCCGAGUAGUC
Molecule: ribosomal RNA, 465 nt
Filed under: uncultured bacterium
Lineage: Bacteria
Description: partial 16S ribosomal RNA
Rfam family: Bacterial small subunit ribosomal RNA
Source: RNAcentral